CCGCGCCGCAUUAGCUAGUUGGUAAGGUAACGGCUUACCAAGGCAACGAUGCGUAGCCGACCUGAGAGGGUGAUCGGCCACACUGGAACUGAGACACGGUCCAGACUCCUACGGGAGGCAGCAGUAGGGAAUCUUCCGCAAUGGGCGAAAGCCUGACGGAGCAACGCCGCGUGAGUGAUGAAGGUCUUCGGAUCGUAAAACUCUGUUAUUAGGGAAGAACAAAUGUGUAAGUAACUAUGCACGUCUUGACGGUACCUAAUCAGAAAGCCACGGCUAACUACGUGCCAGCAGCCGCGGUAAUACGUAGGUGGCAAGCGUUAUCCGGAAUUAUUGGGCGUAAAGCGCGCGUAGGCGGUUUUUAAGUCUGAUGUGAAAGCCCACGGCUCAACCGUGGAGGGUCAUUGGAAACUGGAAAACUUGAGUGCAGAAGAGGAAAGUGGAAUUCCAUGUGUAGCGGUGAAAUGCGCAGAGAUAUGGAGGAACACCAGUGGCGAAGGCGACUUUCUGGUCUGUAACUGACGCUGAUGUGCGAAAGCGUGGGGAUCAAACAGGAUUAGAUACCCUGGUAGUCCACGCCGUAAACGAUGAGUGCUAAGUGUUAGGGGUUUCCGCCCUUAGUGCUGCAGCUAACGCAU
RNAcentral lists this ribosomal RNA (635 nucleotides) under Staphylococcus caprae. Its description in RNAcentral is "bacterial SSU rRNA". It matches the Rfam family "Bacterial small subunit ribosomal RNA", at positions 231 to 860 of the family's 1533-position model. The record is from RNAcentral. Lineage: Bacteria; Bacillati; Bacillota; Bacilli; Caryophanales; Staphylococcaceae.